RNAcentral lists this ribosomal RNA (456 nucleotides) under uncultured bacterium. Its description in RNAcentral is "SSU rRNA". It matches the Rfam family "Bacterial small subunit ribosomal RNA", at positions 26 to 518 of the family's 1533-position model. The record is from RNAcentral.
AGGACGAACGCUGGCGGCGUGCUUAACACAUGCAAGUCGAGCGGAAAGGCCCUUCGGGGUACUCGAGCGGCGAACGGGUGAGUAACACGUGACUAACCUACCCUUGAGUGGGGGAUAACCUAGGGAAACCUGGGCUAAUACCGCAUAAUACCUACGGGUCAAAGGAGCAAUUCGCUUUAGGAGGGGGUCGCGGCAGAUUAGUUAGUUGGCGGGGUAAUGGCCCACCAAGACAGUGAUCUGUAUCCGGCCUGAGAGGGCGCACGGACACACUGGAACUGAAACACGGUCCAGACUCCUACGGGAGGCAGCAGUGGGGAAUUUUGCGCAAUGGGGGAAACCCUGACGCAGCAACGCCGCGUGGAGGAUGAAGCCCCUUGGGGCGUAAACUCCUUCGAUCGGGAAGAUAAUGACGGUACCGGAAGAAGAAGCCCCGGCUAACUUCGUGCCAGCAGCCGC